GGUUAAGCGACUAAGCGUACACGGUGGAUGCCCUGGCAGUCAGAGGCGAUGAAGGACGUGCUAAUCUGCGAUAAGCGUCGGUAAGGUGAUAUGAACCGUUAUAACCGGCGAUUUCCGAAUGGGGAAACCCAGUGUGAUUCGUCACACUAUCAUUAACUGAAUCCAUAGGUUAAUGAGGCGAACCGGGGGAACUGAAACAUCUAAGUACCCCGAGGAAAAGAAAUCAACCGAGAUUCCCCCAGUAGCGGCGAGCGAACGGGGAGCAGCCCAGAGCCUGAAUCAGUGUGUGUGUUAGUGGAAGCGUCUGGAAAGGCGUGCGAUACAGGGUGACAGCCCCGUACACAAAAAUGCACAUACUGUGAGCUCGAUGAGUAGGGCGGGACACGUGGUAUCCUGUCUGAAUAUGGGGGGACCAUCCUCCAAGGCUAAAUACUCCUGACUGACCGAUAGUGAACCAGUACCGUGAGGGAAAGGCGAAAAGAACCCCGGCGAGGGGAGUGAAAAAGAACCUGAAACCGUGUACGUACAAGCAGUGGGAGCACAGAGCAAUCUGUGUGACUGCGUACCUUUUGUAUAAUGGGUCAGCGACUUAUAUUCUGUAGCAAGGUUAACCGAAUAGGGGAGCCGAAGGGAAACCGAGUCUUAACUGGGCGUUAAGUUGCAGGGUAUAGACCCGAAACCCGGUGAUCUAGCCAUGGGCAGGUUGAAGGUUGGGUAACACUAACUGGAGGACCGAACCGACUAAUGUUGAAAAAUUAGCGGAUGACUUGUGGCUGGGGGUGAAAGGCCAAUCAAACCGGGAGAUAGCUGGUUCUCCCCGAAAGCUAUUUAGGUAGCGCCUCGUGAAUUCAUCUCCGGGGGUAGAGCACUGUUUCGGCAAGGGGGUCAUCCCGACUUACCAACCCGAUGCAAACUGCGAAUACCGGAGAAUGUUAUCACGGGAGACACACGGCGGGUGCUAACGUCCGUCGUGAAGAGGGAAACAACCCAGACCGCCAGCUAAGGUCCCAAAGUCAUGGUUAAGUGGGAAACGAUGUGGGAAGGCCCAGACAGCCAGGAUGUUGGCUUAGAAGCAGCCAUCAUUUAAAGAAAGCGUAAUAGCUCACUGGUCGAGUCGGCCUGCGCGGAAGAUGUAACGGGGCUAAACCAUGCACCGAAGCUGCGGCAGCGACACUAUGUGUUGUUGGGUAGGGGAGCGUUCUGUAAGCCUGCGAAGGUGUGCUGUGAGGCAUGCUGGAGGUAUCAGAAGUGCGAAUGCUGACAUAAGUAACGAUAAAGCGGGUGAAAAGCCCGCUCGCCGGAAGACCAAGGGUUCCUGUCCAACGUUAAUCGGGGCAGGGUGAGUCGACCCCUAAGGCGAGGCCGAAAGGCGUAGUCGAUGGGAAACAGGUUAAUAUUCCUGUACUUGGUGUUACUGCGAAGGGGGGACGGAGAAGGCUAUGUUGGCCGGGCGACGGUUGUCCCGGUUUAAGCGUGUAGGCUGGUUUUCCAGGCAAAUCCGGAAAAUCAAGGCUGAGGCGUGAUGACGAGGCACUACGGUGCUGAAGCAACAAAUGCCCUGCUUCCAGGAAAAGCCUCUAAGCAUCAGGUAACAUCAAAUCGUACCCCAAACCGACACAGGUGGUCAGGUAGAGAAUACCAAGGCGCUUGAGAGAACUCGGGUGAAGGAACUAGGCAAAAUGGUGCCGUAACUUCGGGAGAAGGCACGCUGAUAUGUAGGUGAAGCGACUUGCUCGUGGAGCUGAAAUCAGUCGAAGAUACCAGCUGGCUGCAACUGUUUAUUAAAAACACAGCACUGUGCAAACACGAAAGUGGACGUAUACGGUGUGACGCCUGCCCGGUGCCGGAAGGUUAAUUGAUGGGGUCAGCGCAAGCGAAGCUCUUGAUCGAAGCCCCGGUAAACGGCGGCCGUAACUAUAACGGUCCUAAGGUAGCGAAAUUCCUUGUCGGGUAAGUUCCGACCUGCACGAAUGGCGUAAUGAUGGCCAGGCUGUCUCCACCCGAGACUCAGUGAAAUUGAACUCGCUGUGAAGAUGCAGUGUACCCGCGGCAAGACGGAAAGACCCCGUGAACCUUUACUAUAGCUUGACACUGAACAUUGAGCCUUGAUGUGUAGGAUAGGUGGGAGGCUUUGAAGUGUGGACGCCAGUCUGCAUGGAGCCGACCUUGAAAUACCACCCUUUAAUGUUUGAUGUUCUAACGUUGACCCGUGAUCCGGGUUGCGGACAGUGUCUGGUGGGUAGUUUGACUGGGGCGGUCUCCUCCUAAAGAGUAACGGAGGAGCACGAAGGUUGGCUAAUCCUGGUCGGACAUCAGGAGGUUAGUGCAAUGGCAUAAGCCAGCUUGACUGCGAGCGUGACGGCGCGAGCAGGUGCGAAAGCAGGUCAUAGUGAUCCGGUGGUUCUGAAUGGAAGGGCCAUCGCUCAACGGAUAAAAGGUACUCCGGGGAUAACAGGCUGAUACCGCCCAAGAGUUCAUAUCGACGGCGGUGUUUGGCACCUCGAUGUCGGCUCAUCACAUCCUGGGGCUGAAGUAGGUCCCAAGGGUAUGGCUGUUCGCCAUUUAAAGUGGUACGCGAGCUGGGUUUAGAACGUCGUGAGACAGUUCGGUCCCUAUCUGCCGUGGGCGCUGGAGAACUGAGGGGGGCUGCUCCUAGUACGAGAGGACCGGAGUGGACGCAUCACUGGUGUUCGGGUUGUCAUGCCAAUGGCACUGCCCGGUAGCUAAAUGCGGAAGAGAUAAGUGCUGAAAGCAUCUAAGCACGAAACUUGCCCCGAGAUGAGUUCUCCCUGACUCCUUGAGAGUCCUGAAGGAACGUUGAAGACGACGACGUUGAUAGGCCGGGUGUGUAAGCGCAGCGAUGCGUUGAGCUAACCGGUACUAAUGAACCGUGAGGCUUAACCUU
Molecule: ribosomal RNA, 2905 nt
Filed under: Escherichia coli
Lineage: Bacteria; Pseudomonadati; Pseudomonadota; Gammaproteobacteria; Enterobacterales; Enterobacteriaceae
Description: 23S ribosomal RNA
Rfam family: Bacterial large subunit ribosomal RNA
Source: RNAcentral